Molecule: ribosomal RNA, 189 nt
Filed under: endosymbiont of Exorista sorbillans (Murshidabad pop.)
Lineage: Bacteria
Description: partial 16S ribosomal RNA
Rfam family: Bacterial small subunit ribosomal RNA
Source: RNAcentral
UCAGCUCGUGUCGUGAGAUGUUGGGUUAAGUCCCGCAACGAGCGCAACCCUUAUCCUUUGUUGCCAGCGGUCCGGCCGGGAACUCAAAGGAGACUGCCAGUGAUAAACUGGAGGAAGGUGGGGAUGACGUCAAGUCAUCAUGGCCCUUACGAGUAGGGCUACACACGUGCUACAAUGGGCUGCAAAGUA